AAAGAUUAAGCCAUGCAUGUCUAAGUAUAAGCAAUUAUACCGCGAAACUGCGAAUGGCUCAUUAAAUCAGUUAUCGUUUAUUUGAUAGUACCUUACUACAUGGAUAACCGUGGUAAUUCUAGAGCUAAUACAUGCUAAAAAUCCCGACUUCGGAAGGGAUGUAUUUAUUAGAUUAAAAACCAAUGNCCUUCGGGGCUCUCUGGUGAUUCAUAAUAACUUCUCGAAUCGCAUGGCCUUGCGCCGGCGAUGGUUCAUUCAAAUUUCUGCCCUAUCAACUUUCGACGGCUGGGUCUUGGCCAGCCGUGGUGACAACGGGUAACGGAGGGUUAGGGCUCGACCCCGGAGAAGGAGCCUGAGAAACGGCUACUACAUCCAAGGAAGGCAGCAGGCGCGCAAAUUACCCAAUNCCGACACGGGGAGGUAGUGACAAUAAAUACUGAUACAGGGCUCUUUCGGGUCUUGUAAUUGGAAUGAGUACAAUUUAAAUCCCUUAACGAGGAACAAUUGGAGGGCAAGUCUGGUGCCAGCAGCCGCGGUAAUUCCAGCUCCAAUAGCGUAUAUUAAAGUUGUUGAGGUUAAAAAGCUCGUAGUUGAACCUUGGGCCUAGCCGGCCGGUCCGCCUCACCGCGUGCACUGGCUCGGCUGGGUCUUUCCUUCUGGAGAACCGCAUGCCCUUCACUGGGUGUGCCGGGGAACCAGGACUUUUACUCUGAACAAAUUAGAUCGCUUAAAGAAGGCCUAUGCUCGAAUACAUUAGCAUGGAAUAAUAGAAUAGGACGUGUGGUUCUAUUUUGUUGGUUUCUAGGACCGCCGUAAUGAUUAAUAGGGACAGUCGGGGGCAUCAGUAUUCAAUUGUCAGAGGUGAAAUUCUUGGAUUUAUUGAAGACUAACUACUGCGAAAGCAUUUGCCAAGGAUGUUUUCAUUAAUCAGGAACGAAAGUUAGGGGAUCGAAGACGAUCAGAUACCGUCGUAGUCUUAACCAUAAACUAUGCCGAUUAGGGAUCGGANGGCGUUAUUUUUUGACCCGUUCGGCACCUUACGAUA
Molecule: ribosomal RNA, 1045 nt
Filed under: Chaetomium globosum
Lineage: Eukaryota; Fungi; Ascomycota; Sordariomycetes; Sordariales; Chaetomiaceae
Description: SSU rRNA
Rfam family: Eukaryotic small subunit ribosomal RNA
Source: RNAcentral